This 240-nucleotide long non-coding RNA is filed under the name Linum usitatissimum (flax). Its description in RNAcentral is "long non-coding RNA (LUSI_LNC000523)". The record is from RNAcentral. Lineage: Eukaryota; Viridiplantae; Streptophyta; Magnoliopsida; Malpighiales; Linaceae.
UGGAGUUGAAGUUCAUCGUACGCCUCCUUUAGCUUAUCCUUCUUCGCGUCGAUCAAUUUCAGAGCGGCUUCGAUCGUAUUCAAUGUUUGCCUCUCCCUCGUAGGUGCAUUCGCCAUCUUUUUUGUCUACCCUGCCGGCCGUACAGGAUGAAAUUGUUCAGGCACCCGUGUCGGGUUUCGUCGUGAACUGACCGACGGUGAGACGAGUGGAGGAGAAAGGGACGGAGGAUCUGGAUCGAGA